This 508-nucleotide ribosomal RNA is filed under the name uncultured bacterium. Its description in RNAcentral is "partial 16S ribosomal RNA". It matches the Rfam family "Bacterial small subunit ribosomal RNA", at positions 355 to 853 of the family's 1533-position model. The record is from RNAcentral.
UAGGGAAUCUUCCACAAUGGACGCAAGUCUGAUGGAGCAACGCCGCGUGAGUGAAGAAGGUUUUCGGAUCGUAAAGCUCUGUUGUUGGUGAAGAAGGAUAGAGGCAGUAACUGGUCUUUAUUUGACGGUAAUCAACCAGAAAGUCACGGCUAACUACGUGCCAGCAGCCGCGGUAAUACGUAGGUGGCAAGCGUUGUCCGGAUUUAUUGGGCGUAAAGCGAGCGCAGGCGGAAUGAUAAGUCUGAUGUGAAAGCCCACGGCUCAACCGUGGAACUGCAUCGGAAACUGUCAUUCUUGAGUGCAGAAGAGGAGAGUGGAACUCCAUGUGUAGCGGUGGAAUGCGUAGAUAUAUGGAAGACACCAGUGGCGAAGGCGGCUCUCUGGUCUGCAACUGACGCUGAGGCUCGAAAGCAUGGGUAGCGAACAGGAUUAGAUACCCUUGGUAGUCCAUGCCGUAAACGAUGAGCGCUAGGUGUUGGGGACUUUCCGGUUGCUCAGUGCCGCAGCA